UACAUGACCCAAUCAAGACAUAGGGUAGCUGAAUCAGUAAGAAAACAUGAUCUGCGUAUAUGCUGUCUAUAGGAGACCCACCUCAGAACAAAAGAUCUACACAGGCUGAAAGUGAAGGAAUGGAAAAAAUAUUCCAAGCAAAUGAACAUAAAAAAAAAACAAA
Long non-coding RNA from Phyllostomus discolor (pale spear-nosed bat), 163 nucleotides. RefSeq lists it as uncharacterized. The record is from RefSeq and is a predicted model, not a curated record. The transcript has 3 exons. Lineage: Eukaryota; Metazoa; Chordata; Mammalia; Chiroptera; Phyllostomidae.